UAACGCGUGGUCAACCUUCCCGAUAGUGGGGGAUAACUAGCCGAAAGGUUAGCUAAUACCGCAUACGAUCGUCGAGAGACAUCUCUUGCCGAUGAAAGGAGCAAUCCGCUUUCGGACGGGACCGCGUCCCAUUAGCUAGAUGGUGGGGUAAUGGCCUACCAUGGCGACGAUGGGUAGCUGGUUUGAGAGAGCGACCAGCCACACUGGGACUGAGAAACGGCCCAG
This 225-nucleotide ribosomal RNA is filed under the name uncultured bacterium. Its description in RNAcentral is "partial 16S ribosomal RNA". It matches the Rfam family "Bacterial small subunit ribosomal RNA", at positions 111 to 334 of the family's 1533-position model. The record is from RNAcentral.